This 253-nucleotide ribosomal RNA is filed under the name uncultured bacterium. RNAcentral describes it as "partial 16S ribosomal RNA". It matches the Rfam family "Bacterial small subunit ribosomal RNA", at positions 524 to 776 of the family's 1533-position model. The record is from RNAcentral.
UACGUAGGCAGCAAGCGUUGUUCGGAGUUACUGGGCGUAAAGAGUGCGUAGGUGGUGCCCUAAGUCUGUUGUGAAAUCUCCCGGCUUAACUGGGAGGGUGCGGUGGAAACUGGGGUGCUUGAGUGUGGGAGAGGUAAGCGGAAUUCCUGGUGUAGCGGUGAAAUGCGUAGAGAUGUGGAGGAACACCAGUGGCGAAGGCGACAUCCUGGACUGGUCCUGACACUCAGGAGCGAAAGCGUGGGGAGCGAUCCGG